UACGUAGGGUGCGAGCGUUGUCCGGAAUUAUUGGGCGUAAAGAGCUUGUAGGCGGUCUGUCGCGUCUGCUGUGAAAAUCCGGGGCUCAACCCCGGACUUGCAGUGGGUACGGGCAGACUAGAGUGUGGUAGGGGAGACUGGAAUUCCUGGUGUAGCGGUGAAAUGCGCAGAUAUCAGGAGGAACACCGAUGGCGAAGGCAGGUCUCUGGGCCACUACUGACGCUGAGGCGCGAAAGCCAGGGGAGCAAACGGG
RNAcentral lists this ribosomal RNA (253 nucleotides) under uncultured bacterium. RNAcentral describes it as "partial 16S ribosomal RNA". It matches the Rfam family "Bacterial small subunit ribosomal RNA", at positions 524 to 776 of the family's 1533-position model. The record is from RNAcentral.